RNAcentral lists this ribosomal RNA (492 nucleotides) under uncultured bacterium. RNAcentral's name for it is "partial 16S ribosomal RNA". It matches the Rfam family "Bacterial small subunit ribosomal RNA", at positions 29 to 507 of the family's 1533-position model. The record is from RNAcentral.
AGUGAACGCUGGCGGUAGGCCUAACACAUGCAAGUCGAACGGCAGCACAGUAAGAGCUUGCUCUUACGGGUGGCGAGUGGCGGACGGGUGAGGAAUACAUCGGAAUCUACUUUUUCGUGGGGGAUAACGUAGGGAAACUUACGCUAAUACCGCAUACGACCUACGGGUGAAAGCAGGGGAUCUUCGGACCUUGCGCGAUUGAAUGAGCCGAUGUCGGAUUAGCUAGUUGGCGGGGUAAAGGCCCACCAAGGCGACGAUCCGUAGCUGGUCUGAGAGGAUGAUCAGCCACACUGGAACUGAGACACGGUCCAGACUCCUACGGGAGGCAGCAGUGGGGAAUAUUUGACAAAGGGCGCAAGCCUGAUCCAGCCAUACCGCGUGGGUGAAGAAGGCCUUCGGGUUGUAAAGCCCUUUUGUUGGGAAAGAAAAGCAGCAGGUUAAUACCCCGCUGUUCUGACGGUACCCAAAGAAUAAGCACCGGCUAACUUCGUG